This is a long non-coding RNA of Girardinichthys multiradiatus, 558 nucleotides long. RefSeq lists it as uncharacterized. The record is from RefSeq and is a predicted model, not a curated record. NCBI's taxonomy places the organism in Eukaryota, Metazoa, Chordata, Actinopteri, Cyprinodontiformes, Goodeidae. The transcript is spliced from 3 exons.
UGUGUGUGUGUGUGUGUUUGUGUUCACUUUGUUUUUAGCUUUCAGAUGGUUCCAGAGUUUCUCAGGUGCACGGGUUGACAGGUGCGACUGAUCUGCUGAUUGCCUUGAGGAGUAUUUAAGCAGGAGGCUGCCAGCACUUCGAUGCCAGAGUGUUUGCCUUCAGUGGCUGAAACCUGAACCCCGUUUAUCUUCGUUGAGCUUCGUCUUUGGUUCCAGUGACUUCCUGGACGCUCAAGUUUACCUACGUUUUGUGGAUUACGUUCUGGAUUUCGUGUUUUGGAUUAUGCUGGCAGCUUCCUGGAAAUUCCCGACUCCUGAACCAAGGCAGAGGCGUACCCUGUCCACCCUCCAACGCAAGUACCUGAACAUUGAACUCUCUCAUGAACUCACCAGUAUUCACUCCCCAGCUCGUACUGAAGCAUCUGGACAACCUAGCUUCGCACACCCAGGUUCUGACUCCCUCUACCCCUAGCGACCUGACGGCAUUUACUUGUUGGUGAAUUUACCCAUUCAUGUCCCUGUGUUCACGUACUGUAAAUAAACACCGUUACGCUUUCA